This 450-nucleotide ribosomal RNA is filed under the name Entelexis vaccinii. RNAcentral describes it as "eukaryotic LSU rRNA". It matches the Rfam family "Eukaryotic large subunit ribosomal RNA", at positions 62 to 648 of the family's 3401-position model. The record is from RNAcentral. Lineage: Eukaryota; Fungi; Ascomycota; Dipodascomycetes; Dipodascales; Trichomonascaceae.
AAACCAACAGGGAUUGCCCUAGUAAUGGCGAAUGAACAGGCAAAAGCUCAGAUUUGAAACCCUCGGGAUUGUAAUCUGGAGGCCUGGAUUUGGCGCGCUGACCAAGUCUCCUGGAACGGAGCGCCAUGGAGGGUGACAGCCCCGUAGCAGCAGCCAGUGCAAAUCCGGGCCCACGAGUCGAGUUGUUUGGGAAUGCAGCUCUAAGUGGGUGGUAUGCUCCAUCUAAAGCUAAAUAUUGGCGAGAGACCGAUAGCGAACAAGUACUGUGAAGGAAAGAUGAAAAGAACUUUGAAAAGAGAGUGAAAAAGUACGUGAAAUUGUUGAAAUGGAAGGCAAUGAGGUGCGAUUGCGCCGGGCGUUUGGGGGCAGGACAAAAGCGCAGGCCGCUUCGGCACUGCCUGCGUGCAUGCUGCCUCCCGGACCACCGGGGCUAACAACGCCUUACUGCAC